UACGGAGGAUGCAAGCGUUAUCCAGAUUUAUUGGGUUUAAAAGGGUGCGCAGGUUGUUUGAUAAGUCAGUGGUGAAAGUCUGUCGCUUAACGGUAGGAUUGCCAUUGAUACUGUUGGACUUGAAUAUGGAUGAGGUAGGCGGAAUGUGUAGUGUAGCGGUGAAAUGCAUAGAUAUUACACAGAACACCGAUUGCGAAGGCAGCUUACUAAUCCAUCAUUGACGCUGAGGCACGAAAGCGUGGGGAUCAAACA
Molecule: ribosomal RNA, 252 nt
Filed under: uncultured prokaryote
Description: partial 16S ribosomal RNA
Rfam family: Bacterial small subunit ribosomal RNA
Source: RNAcentral